Molecule: non-coding RNA, 117 nt
Filed under: Pan paniscus (pygmy chimpanzee)
Lineage: Eukaryota; Metazoa; Chordata; Mammalia; Primates; Hominidae
Also listed under: 1 other name
Source: Rfam by way of RNAcentral
GCCAGGCAUGGUGGCUCAUGCCUAUAAUCCCAGCACUUUCGGAGGCCGAGGUGGGAGGAUCACUUGAGCCCAGGAGUUUGAGGCCAGCCUGGGCAACACAGUGAGACCCCAUCUCUA